RNAcentral lists this ribosomal RNA (256 nucleotides) under uncultured bacterium. Its description in RNAcentral is "partial small subunit ribosomal RNA". It matches the Rfam family "Bacterial small subunit ribosomal RNA", at positions 26 to 285 of the family's 1533-position model. The record is from RNAcentral.
AGGACGAACGCUGGCGGCGUGCUUAACACAUGCAAGUCGAGCGGAAAGGCCCUUCGGGGUACUCGUAGCGGCGAACGGGUGAGUAGCACGUGAGUAACCUGCCCCUAGCUCUGGGAUAGCUCCGGGAAAACCGGGAUUAAUACCAGAUACGACCACUUUAGACAUCUGUCGUGGUGGAAAGGAUUCCGGCUAGGGAUGGGCUCGCGGCCUAUCAGCUUGUUGGUGGGGUAACGGCCUACCAAGGCGACGACGGGUA